Homo sapiens (human) is the source of this 1192-nucleotide long non-coding RNA. The record is from Ensembl. Lineage: Eukaryota; Metazoa; Chordata; Mammalia; Primates; Hominidae.
GUGGAUCCGUGAGAGCAUCAGAGAACCACGGCAUUUUCCUACAUCACUGCUGUGUGCUUUGCACAGAUGCAAAAUGUUAAAAGAGUUCAGAGGCUGCAGGACUUGGCAGGGCUAGGGUAAGUUGGAAAAGCCUUCCUAAGAGCCUAGAUAUUUGGACAGGGCGUGCAAGGUGGGUGUGAUUUAGAUGUGAGAAUGGAGUUUCAUGCAUUCCACCUAAAGGAAUGUAGCAGAAUGGGACGUCCUGUAAGAUACAGGCACAUCGAGAAUUUACACUGGAGGCCAAAUGAAGUAGACAGGGAAACAAGGGGAAGGAAUUCUUGGUGCAAAACCAACUGUGAGGGGCUGAAAUGUGGCCCCCAGAUUCCUAACCCCCAGGACCUCAGAAUGUGACUGCAUGUGAAGAUAGGGUUUCAUCAAACAGGACUGGGGUCCUUACAGGAAGGGGUGAUCACGACACAGACACACACACAGAGGGAUGACCAUGUGAGGUCACAGCAAGAAGACAGCGUCUGCCAGCCAAGGGGAGGCCUUGGGAAUCCAGCCCUGCCCACAUCUCCAUCUGGGACUUCUGGCUUCCAGGACUAUGAGAGAAUAAAUGUUGUUGAAACCACACUAUCUGUGGAAUUUUGUAAUGACAGCCCCAGCAGAGGAACACCAGCCUUGAAAGCUUUGAUCAAAAGCUGUCCAUUAUUUUAUAACAUAGAACUGUGGAAUUCCAAUGUGGAUUUAGGGUUCUGCAUUCUCUGCUGUGCUGUAAGCUCCAAGCAGGAAGGGGCUGUGUGUGCGGGAACUAGCUCAGUGUCUACCUGUGUCCCACUCCGGGCACCGGGCGUCACGUGCACAGAGUUGAGGGUGACACCUAGUAUGUGCGGAGGACCUGCGUUUGGCACAGGAACGGACGAUCAGUUGUGGAUGCUGUAUUACAGGAAGACGCCACUUAGAGCCAUCGCAGUCAAUUUGACCUUUGUGCUGGGAGAGCAUCAGGAAUAGAUGGUUCCAGGCUAAGUAAAAGUUUACCUACAUGCUGCAGAGAUGCCUUGGAUUUCAAGCCAGCACGGGCUGCUGCGGCUGUAUUUCUGGAGUCAGCAGAUAAUGAAUUAUUAGAUCACCAGCUAAUGAGGUAACGCUGUAGCAUACCACAUGCUUUAUGCCAAAAAUAAAAAAUUGAUAUACGGCACCAGACGCACAAAAA